This 285-nucleotide long non-coding RNA is filed under the name Olea europaea subsp. europaea. Lineage: Eukaryota; Viridiplantae; Streptophyta; Magnoliopsida; Lamiales; Oleaceae. The record is from RNAcentral.
AACCCUGCUCAAGUAUUUUGGACAGAAUCCUCUUUUUCAUUGGUGAUUUGGAAGCAGCUUCUUUACAUGCUAAACGAAGCCGACUGCAGUAGUGAUCUCUCAAUCGAAAGCCGAAUCUAAUGAAUUUUCAAUAUUUAUUGCUCUGUCUAUAGUCAUUUAUGUAAACAAUUUCUCAUCCUAUCGAAUUGGGAAGUUAUUGCAAUAUAAUUUACAUAAUUUGGAAUCAAGUUUUGAUUGUCGACCAUCAGAAUUGGGACGUAUAGGGAUGCUUUACAUGAACCCAAG